GUUAGGAAUAUUGGACAAUGGGCGCAAGCCUGAUCCAGCCAUGUCGCGUGAGUGAUGAAGGCCUUCGGGUUGUGAAGCUCUUUAGCCGAUGAUUAUAAUGACUGUAGUCGGAAAAUAAGCCCCGGCUAACUUCGUGCCAGCAGCCGCGGUAAUACGAAGGGGGCGAGCGUUAUUCGGAAUCACUGGGCGUAAAGCGUGCGUAGGCGGCUUUGCAAGUUGGGAGUGAAAGCCCAGGGCUCAACCCUGGAAGUGCUCUCAAAACUGCAAGGCUCGAAUUCGGGAGAGGAUAGCGGAAUUGUCAGUGUAGCAGUGAAAUGCGUAGAUAUUGACAGGAACACCAGUGGCGUAAGCGGCUAUCUGGACCGAUAUUGACGCUGAGGCACGAAAGCGUGGGGAUCAAACAGGAUUAGAUACCCCUGUAGUCC
Molecule: ribosomal RNA, 425 nt
Filed under: uncultured bacterium
Lineage: Bacteria
Description: partial 16S ribosomal RNA
Rfam family: Bacterial small subunit ribosomal RNA
Source: RNAcentral